This 460-nucleotide ribosomal RNA is filed under the name uncultured bacterium. RNAcentral's name for it is "partial 16S ribosomal RNA". It matches the Rfam family "Bacterial small subunit ribosomal RNA", at positions 338 to 795 of the family's 1533-position model. The record is from RNAcentral.
CCUACGGGUGGCAGCAGUGAGGAAUAUUGGUCAAUGGGCGAGAGCCUGAACCAGCCAAGUCGCGUGAAGGAUGAAGGUCCUAGGGUUUGUAAACUUCUUUUAUAUAGGAAUAAAGUGAGGAACGUGUUCCUUUUUGUAUGUACCGUAUGAAUAAGCAUCGGCUAACUCCGUGCCAGCAGCCGCGGUAAUACGGAGGGUGCGAGCGUUAUCCGGAUUUAUUGGGUUUAAAGGGUGCGUAGGUGGUUUGUUAAGUCAGCGGUGAAAGUUUGCGGCUCAACCAUAAAAUUGCAGUUGAAACUGGUAGACUUGAGUGCAGGUGAGGGAGGCGGAACGCGUGGUGUAGCGGUGAAAUGCAUAGAUAUCACGAAGAACUCCGAUUGCGAAGGCAGCUUACUAAACUAUAACUGACACUGAAGCUCGAAAGCGUGGGUAUCAAACAGGAUUAGAUACCCCAGUAGUC